UAGAAUUGACGGGGCCCGCACAAGCGGUGGAUUAUGUGGAUAAUUCGAUGCAACGCGAAAACCUUACCUACCCUUGACAUGCCAGGAACUUGCCAGAGAUGGCUUGGUGCCCGAAAGGGAGCCUGGACACAGGUGCUGCAUGGCUGUCGUCAGCUCGUGUCGUGAGAUGUUGGGUUAAGUCCCGCAACGAGCGCAACCCUUGUCAUUAAUUGCCACCAUUCAGUUGGGCACUUUAAUGAGACUGCCGGUGACAAACCGGAGGAAGGUGGGGGAUGACGUCAAGUCCUCAUGGCCCUUAUGGGUAGGGCUUCACACGUAAUACAAUGGUCGGUACAGAGGGUUGCCAACCCGCGAGGGGGAGCUAAUCCCAGAAAACCGAUCGUAGUCCGGAUUGCAGUCUGCAACUCGACUGCAUGAAGUCGGAAUCGCUAGUAAUCGCGGAUCAGCAUGUCCGCGGUUCGAAUACGUUCCGGCCUU
This 477-nucleotide ribosomal RNA is filed under the name uncultured Rhodocyclaceae bacterium. RNAcentral describes it as "bacterial SSU rRNA". It matches the Rfam family "Bacterial small subunit ribosomal RNA", at positions 907 to 1382 of the family's 1533-position model. The record is from RNAcentral. Lineage: Bacteria; Pseudomonadati; Pseudomonadota; Betaproteobacteria; Rhodocyclales; Rhodocyclaceae.